CGGACGCUGUUCGUGGGGAACCUGGAGAGCCGCGUGCGGGAGGAGAUCCUCUACGAGCUCUUCCUGCAGGUGGAGGCCGGGCGCCCAGGGGCGGGACGGGGCCGCAGGGCGGAGGCCUCAGCGGGCCCCAGCCGGGCACGGCGGCCGCGUCGGUCCCAGGGCUGGGCAGGGGCGAGGCGAGGCCUCGGGCAGCGGACCGCUGCGCUGGCAGGGGAGCAGCCACGGCAGCCUUCGCCGUAAGAGCAAAGCGCUGCGAGCGGCCGUAGAGCGCGAAGCCGCCGGGAGGCAGAGCAGGGCAAGGCAAAGCAGGGCAGCCGGGCGAGUCCAGCUCGGCGUAGGCCUAUUCGCCACUGCCGCGGCGGCACAGUUGCCCUGUUGCACCCGGGCCGCCCUUCCGCAGUUUGGCCUUCUCUCGGCUUUGCGAGUUUUGGUGCCACUGGUGGGCCCCGAGUUGGUGGGGCAGUUAAAUAAGUUAAAGAUAUUUUUUUACACCUUUUUUAAAGUUAUAUUCCGAGCAAUACAUUUUCUAUCAAUAAUUUGAUUAAGAAAAACUAGUUUAACACUUGGAGAUGUCUCGAGCAAAGUUGAAGCCCUUAACAGCAUGAGAGGCAGUAGCAAUGGCCUGCAAGUGGGCCUCUGGACUUACACUUAUAAAUGACCCUUAUAUUAACAUGUGUUAAUGCAGGAGAAGAUAUUAACAAUUCCUUUGGCAGGAUUUUCAGGGGAGUAGUGGGAAAGUGAUAAGCAGCUGGAUCUAUUUUAAACCUAAUCUUAAUUCUCUCUUUAGAAAUAAGAUAUACCAAGGAAGGAAGAAAUCAACAAAGCAAAUGUCAAGAAGCUGACUUGGCUUUAGUUUUGAUCUCACAUUGACAGCAUCUCGGGCUAAGCCAGGCUUAUGAAGGUGAAAGUAGGAAUGAGGAUAUGGAAUUCUGCAUUAUAUCACAAAUGCAGAAAUUUCAAGAUUGGAUGGAAAAUGGUUGCCAAGGCUUUUCCUGAUUAUGUCUAUAGAGUGUUUGGUUUGUGGUUUUGUUUCUUUUCCUCCUGGCAUCAUCUAGUCAGCCCCUGUCAAGCUAAAAAGUCCCAAAUUCUGAGUAGACAGUUUAGCUGACAGCUAAACUUCCUUCUACCAGUCCACUAAUUUGCCUCAGUGUGAGCAUAAAUCUUACUUCCUUCUGAUGAGUUUGCAAAAUAAAGAGUGGGGAAAAAAAGAAGUGGGGUAGAAUCACCUGUUCUCUUGCAGCUUCAUUUGCUAAUCAGAACUGUUUCUACUCACCAGUUUUAUUCUACUGAAUAAUAUGAUGCUUUUUAACUAGACAAGACAUCAGCAUGCAACCUUAUUUGCAUGGAAAGACUAUUUUGUUCGGUAUAUUCUAGCCCUUUGGAGUUUUAGCAGCUCUCAUCUCUUCCUAACUUCAGUUUUUAACUUUUCUCUAAAAUUAACAAAGAAGCAGUUGUUUUCUUUUGUUUGCUCGCUGUCUUUAUUGUUUCCAAUACUAAACAGUAGUCUGCUGUUUAAUUCUGUUAGGUUAAGAAAGCUUAUCUUACCAGGGGACUUGAGUAAUACCAUACAAAUUCUGGUAUAAAAGUGAUAAAAAUAAGUGAAUGCUCUCAGAAUGCAGUUUUGGAUAACUCUCCUGCAUGUUCUACAGUGGUCAUCUAACUGCUUUUAUCUGGGCCCUUAGGUGAUCCAAAUGAUACCUACUCAACUUUUUCCUUCUCUUCGUCUUGUUCUUAUGCGGGUUUCACUAUCUUUUGCUACAACAGCACUUGCUUCCUACUGCACUACUGUCCUUUCUUGGAAAGUAUACAGUUCAAUAUGCAUGCUAUGGCAUAGUUCUAAAGACGCACUCCUGACCUACAGCUUUUCCCUCAUCAAAUUACAAGCAAGUAUUUAUUAUUACUUCUAAACUAUUAAUAUUUUUAUUUAUGAACAGGAAGACUACAUAUUUAAAAGGCUGAUCUGCAAAGGACUUGACUUUGUUACCUCUAAUUCUUGAAGAACCAGAUCCUCCUUGUUAGGCAAAUAAUAAUCAGAAGACUGCAUAUAUGUAAAUUUUUUAAAAAUUGCAGUGUAGUGCAGAACAACAACAACAACAAACAUGCCUUAAGGAUUCAACUAAAACAAAGAGAAACAUACUCAAAAUCUUACUGAAAUCACUUCUUUAAAAACACAAAACCAGUAAAACCAACCAAACAAAAAAUAACCGACCAAAGAAACCCAGCAAACUUCAAGAUACUUGAAAAGACAAGAUCAGCAUUUUGAAGAUUACCUGCACAGGACAACCUAGGCUGGACCACUAACCAAAGUGACGAUUUGUAAGGAUAAAGAAGGAAAACCUAAGUCUUUUGGAUUUGUCUGCUUUAAGCACAAAGAAUC
Molecule: RNA transcript, 2377 nt
Organism: Colius striatus (speckled mousebird)
Lineage: Eukaryota; Metazoa; Chordata; Aves; Coliiformes; Coliidae
Gene: RBM11
Gene name: RNA binding motif protein 11
Exons: 2
Source: RefSeq, a predicted model, not a curated record